Molecule: ribosomal RNA, 497 nt
Filed under: uncultured bacterium
Lineage: Bacteria
Description: partial 16S ribosomal RNA
Rfam family: Bacterial small subunit ribosomal RNA
Source: RNAcentral
GAUGAACGCUGGCGGCGUGCCUAAUACAUGCAAGUCGAGCGAACAGAUGAGGAGCUUGCUCCUCUGACGUUAGCGGCGGACGGGUGAGUAACACGUGGAUAACCUACCUAUAAGACUGGGAUAACUUCGGGAAACCGGAGCUAAUACCGGAUAAUAUAUUGAACCGCAUGGUUCAAUAGUGAAAGACGGUUUUGCUGUCACUUAUAGAUGGAUCCGCGCCGCAUUAGCUAGUUGGUAAGGUAACGGCUUACCGAGGCAACGAUGCGUAGCCGACCUGAGAGGGUGAUCGGCCACACUGGAACUGAGACACGGUCCAGACUCCUACGGGAGGCAGCAGUAGGGAAUCUUCUGCAAUGGGCGAAAGCCUGACGGAGCAACGCCGCGUGAGUGAUGAAGGUCUUCGGAUCGUAAAACUCUGUUAUUAGGGAAGAACAAAUGUGUAAGUAACUAUGCACGUCUUGACGGUACCUAAUCAGAAAGCCACGGCUAACUACGUG